RNAcentral lists this ribosomal RNA (877 nucleotides) under marine metagenome. Its description in RNAcentral is "bacterial SSU rRNA". It matches the Rfam family "Bacterial small subunit ribosomal RNA", at positions 88 to 998 of the family's 1533-position model. The record is from RNAcentral.
CGGGUUAGUGGCGGACGGGUGAGUAACGCGUGAGAAUCUGCCCUCAGGAGGGGGAUAACGGUUGGAAACGACCGCUAAUACCCCAUAUGCCUACUGGUGAAAUGAAUUUCGCCUGAGGAUGAGCUCGCGUCUGAUUAGCUAGUUGGUGAGGUAAUGGCUCACCAAGGCUUCGAUCAGUAGCUGGUCUGAGAGGAUGAUCAGCCACACUGGGACUGAGACACGGCCCAGACUCCUACGGGAGGCAGCAGUGGGGAAUUUUCCGCAAUGGGCGAAAGCCUGACGGAGCAACGCCGCGUGAGGGACGAAGGCCUCUGGGCUGUAAACCUCUUUUCUCAAGGAAGAAGAUAUGACGGUACUUGAGGAAUAAGCCACGGCUAAUUCCGUGCCAGCAGCCGCGGUAAUACGGGAGUGGCAAGCGUUAUCCGGAAUUAUUGGGCGUAAAGCGUCCGCAGGCGGCUUUUCAAGUCUGCUGUUAAAGCGUGGAGCUUAACUCCAUCAUGGCAGUGGAAACUGAAAGGCUUGAGUAUGGUAGGGGCAGAGGGAAUUCCCGGUGUAGCGGUGAAAUGCGUAGAUAUCGGGAAGAACACCAGUGGCGAAGGCGCUCUGCUGGGCCAUUACUGACGCUCAUGGACGAAAGCCAGGGGAGCGAAAGGGAUUAGAUACCCCUGUAGUCCUGGCCGUAAACGAUGAACACUAGGUGUCGGGGGAAUCGACCCCUUCGGUGUCGUAGCUAACGCGUUAAGUGUUCCGCCUGGGGAGUACGCACGCAAGUGUGAAACUCAAAGGAAUUGACGGGGGCCCGCACAAGCGGUGGAGUAUGUGGUUUAAUUCGAUGCAACGCGAAGAACCUUACCAGGGUUUGACAUCCUGCGAACCU